This 253-nucleotide ribosomal RNA is filed under the name uncultured bacterium. RNAcentral's name for it is "partial 16S ribosomal RNA". It matches the Rfam family "Bacterial small subunit ribosomal RNA", at positions 524 to 776 of the family's 1533-position model. The record is from RNAcentral.
UACAGGGGGGGCAAGCGUUGUUCGGAAUUACUGGGCGUAAAGGGCUCGUAGGCGGCCAACUAAGUCCGACGUGAAAUCCCAAAGCUUAACUUUGGAACUGCGUCGGAUACUGGAUGGCUUGAAUUCGGGAGAGGGAUGCAGAAUUCCAGGUGUAGCGGUGAAAUGCGCAGAUAUCAGGAGGAACACCGGUGGCGAAGGCGGAUCUCUGGGCCUUACCUGACGCUGAGGCGCGAAAGCUAGGGGAGCGAACAGG